AAAACCCAUGAACGAAUUAUAAAUUCACCUUUUUUCAUACUUCAUCACAAUGAAUCACGAAAAAGAAAACUAUCUAACACUCAAGUCUCCUCCUUAAAGGCUAUAUUGUGGUGUAUGUUAAAAGGAGAAAGCAUAGCACUGUUUGAUCAAUAUCUGUUAAUCAGAAUUCAAAAUGAAGAGGAGAAGGAUGAUGAUUUUCUAAAGUGAAUAGGUUUAUUCAACCAUUAGUAAGAAACUGAUUUACAAGAGAUAUAAAAAAGAUGUUCUAGCACAUCUUUCUACCAACUACCUGCUACAUCCUUACUUAAGGACACACAUUACAUCAUUACAUAAAGACAUGCUGGUGCAGGCUAUACAUCAAAAAAAAUGUAAAGGACUGCUCCCUAUAAUCAUUACAAAAUAUAUAGGGCUUGACAACAAAAUAAACAUAGCUUAGCCUUAAACUUGAUACUUAAGGACUCGACAAUUGUGACAACAAAAGUGGCAACCAACAUCAAUUCUCCUCCUUGACACUUCUGUUGGAAACAUCAAGACUCUUUCUAAGUGUUUCAAAUCUUCCCUUGGACAAGGACUUGGUUAGAAUGUCGGCAUAUUGGUCUUCACCUUUGCAAUGUAACAGCUUUACCUCACAAUUUUCUUGUGCUUCUCUAAUUACAUGGUACUUGAUUUUAAUGUGUUUCGAUCUUCCAUGGAACACUGGAUUUUUUACCAUAGCUACAGCUAUUGAUUAUCAUAAAAAAUUAUAGUUGCCUCAGUUUGUUUAGCAUCCAAAUCUUCCAGCAUUUUCCUUAGCCAAUGUGCUUGAUUUGGUGCUUCUACUACUGCUACAUACUCUGCUUCUGCUGUUGAUUGAGCAACAAUUUUUUGCUUCAUCGAGUUCCAGCAAACAAUGUUUGUUUCGAGAUAAAAUGCAUAUCCAGAUGUGCUAUUCAUAUCAUCAAGAGAUCGGGCCCAGUCACUGUCUGUGUAUCCAAUUAAAUUCCAGGAUUUUGGCCUCUUAAACCAGAUUCCCAAAUCAGCACUUCCUUUAAUAUAUCUCAAAUCUCUUUUGGCUGCCUGGAAAUGCAAUUCACUUGGUUCUUCCCUGAACCUCGAAAGCAAAUUAGUAGCAUAAGUGAGGUUAGGUCUUGUGAUUGUCAAAUACAAUAAACAACCAACCAAGCUCCUAUACAACUUCCCAUCAAUCUUAUUACUACCAUCAUCUUUCACCAGUUUCACAUUUUGAACCAAAGGAGUUUCUACUAGUUUACAGUUGUCCAUACUGAAUUUCUUUAAUAUCUCAAUGGCAUAUCUUCUUUGACACACAAAAAUGCCUUCUUGUGUCUGGUCGAUUUCCAUUCCAAGGAAGUACUUCAUCUUUCCUAAAUCAGUCAUUUCAAAUGACUUCAUCAUUUCAGCCUUAGUUCUAUCUAUCAGUUCCUUACUGAUGCUAGUUAUUAGAAGAUCAUCAACAUAUAAGGAAAUGAUGAUUGACUCUUCUUCAAUUUUCUUCAUGUACAAGGUCUGUUCAUUGACACUUCUCACAAACCCAAGGCCGCUCAUGUGUUCAUCAAUUCGGUUGUACCAAGCUCUUGGAGCUUGCUUCAACCCAUACAAUGCCUUCUUCAGCUGAUACACUUUGUCCUCUUCUCCAACUACUUGAAAGCCAUCAGGUUGAUCGACAUAAAUCUCCUCAUUUAACCAGCCAUUUAGGAAAGCUGAUUUAACAUCCAGUUGAUGAAUUUCCCAGCCUCUUUGAGCAGUUAUAGCUAGCAACAACCUUAUAGUUUCAUACCUUGCCACUGGUGCAAACGUAUCUAAGUAAUCAGUACCACAUUACUGUGCAUACCCUUUCACAAUAAGUCUGGCCUUAAGCUUGUUAAUAGAUCCAUCUGAGUUCAUCUUGGUCUUGAACACCCAUUUGACUCCAAUAACAUUUUUGUUCAUUGGCCUAUCUACCAGCUUCCAAGUUCCAUUCUUUUCAAUCAUCUUAAAUUCCUCCUCCGUUGCUGCCAACCAGUCAGAUGAAUUUACAGCUUCAGCAGCAGUUGUUGGCUCUAAUAUUGCUGAAUUGCACUUUGCAUAAACAUCAGCCAAUGACCUGGUUUUUAGUACUGGAUUCUCAGUAUCUGAUCCACUAUCAGCUUCCAAAGGAUCAUCUUUCAAUACUUCAGGUUGGUUUUCAUCAGGAUCCUCUUCUUCAUUGAUUACAACCUCAUCUCUUUGUGGAACUAUUCUUUGAUCAUGUGAUAGAAUUAAUGUGUUGGACUCCCAAUUCCAUGAGGAUUCUUCAUCUAUCUUGAUAUCCCUGCUGGAUAUUAUCUUCUCGAUUUGAGGAUUGAAAACCUUAUAUCCUUUAGCAUUGCUGCAAUACCCAAUCAAGAUGCUAGAUUCAGCCUUUUGACUUACCUUAUCUCUUUUAGGGUCUGGAAUGUGUGUGUAACAGAUAUUACCAAACACCCUUAGAUGAGCAACAUUAGGCUUGAUUCCAUACCAAGCCUCAUAUGGUGUUUUCAUAUUCAAAGCUUUUGUGGGGAGUCUAUUAAGAAGAUAUGAGGCAGUACUCACAGCUUCUACCCAGAACUCUUUUAGAACUGAUUUCUCAAUCAUCAAACACCUUGCCAUCUCCAUCAAGGUCCUAUUCUUUCUUUCACACACUCCAUUUUGCUACGGUGUGUAUGGAAUGAUCAACUGAUGUUUAAUUCCAGCUGCCUCACAGAAUUUAUCAAACUAAUUACACUUGUAUUCAGUUCCAUUGUCUGUUCUGAUGGUCUUAAUUCUGGAAUUGCACUCAUUUUUGACCAAUGUUUUGAACUUCUGAAACACCCCUGCAACUUUAGACUUCAACCUCAGGAUGUACACCCAACUCAUCCUUGUUAGAUCAUCAAUGAAGAGUACAAAAUAUCUGCUGCCAUUCAUGAGUUCUAAUUGGACCACAUACAUCUGAGUGGAUUAACUCAAGUUUUGUUAUAGCUCUUCUUGCCUGACCUUUUGGAAAUGGAAGUCUGGUUUGUUUCCCACGUUGACAUACCUCACACACACAGGUAUCAACACAUACAUCAGGGAUAUUUUCAGCAGGCUUAUGCAGGUGCUUAAGUGAUGUACAGUUUAUGUGUCCAAACCUCCUAUGCCAAAGUGUGGACUCAUCAACUGAGCUUGUGAAUGCAUGCGAAGUUACCUUUUUCCACUCUAAAGGAAAACUUCUUUGUUUCAUCUCCACAGACAUCAGUUCAUUAUUACUUGGAUCUAAUAUAGUGCAACCAUUGCCUUUGAAAAUCAGUAUGAAUUUCUUCUCAAUCAACUGGCCUACACUAAUUAGAUUUUGAUCUAUAUUAGGCACAUAAAGGACAUCAAAAAUAAGCUUGGUACUUGUUGGAGUUUAUACAGAAACUACUCC
RNAcentral lists this long non-coding RNA (3376 nucleotides) under Olea europaea subsp. europaea. Lineage: Eukaryota; Viridiplantae; Streptophyta; Magnoliopsida; Lamiales; Oleaceae. The record is from RNAcentral.